RNAcentral lists this ribosomal RNA (468 nucleotides) under uncultured bacterium. RNAcentral's name for it is "partial 16S ribosomal RNA". The stretch from base 52 to 468 matches the Rfam family "Bacterial small subunit ribosomal RNA", at positions 39 to 507 of the family's 1533-position model. The record is from RNAcentral.
GGGGGGGGGGGGGGGGGGGGGGGGGGGGGGGGGGGGGGGGGGGGGGGCCGGGCGGGUGGGGGGGGCGCGGGGGGCGAGGGGGGGCGGAACACGGGAGGAACCGGCCCUGGACUUUGGGAUAACUUCAGGAAACUGGGGCUACUACCGGAUAGGCGCUCCUGCCUCAUGGUGCGGCUUGGCAAGUUUCGGCGGUUGGGGAUUGACUCGGGGCUUAUCAGCUUGCUGGUGGGGUAGUGGCUGACCACGGCUUUGACGGGUAGCCGGCCUGAGAGGGUGACCGGCCACAUUGGGACUGAGAUAAGGCCCAGCCUCCUACGGGAGGCAGCAGUGGGGAAUAUUGCACAAUGGGCGGCAGCCUGAUGCAGCAGCGCCGCGUGCGGGAUUACGCCCUUCGGGUUGUAAACCGCUUUCGCCUGUGACGAAGCGUGAGUGACGGUAAUGGGUAAAGAAGCACCGGCUAACUACGUG